GUGCCACCGCGGUAAUACGUAGGGUGCGAGCGUUGUCCGGAAUUAUUGGGCGUAAAGAGCGCGUAGGCGGUCCGAUAAGUCGGCUGUGAAAGUCAGGGGCUCAACCCUUGAAAGCCGGCCGAUACUGUCGGACUAGAGUCCGGAAGAGGCAAGUGGAAUUCCCGGUGUAGCGGUGAAAUGCGCAGAUAUCGGGAGGAACACCAAUGGCGAAGGCAGCUUGCUGGGACGGUACUGACGCUGAGGCGCGAAAGCGUGGGGAGCAAACAGG
This 268-nucleotide ribosomal RNA is filed under the name uncultured bacterium. RNAcentral describes it as "partial 16S ribosomal RNA". It matches the Rfam family "Bacterial small subunit ribosomal RNA", at positions 509 to 776 of the family's 1533-position model. The record is from RNAcentral.